Molecule: long non-coding RNA, 328 nt
Organism: Ixodes scapularis (black-legged tick)
Lineage: Eukaryota; Metazoa; Arthropoda; Arachnida; Ixodida; Ixodidae
Exons: 2
Source: RefSeq, a predicted model, not a curated record
GGUCGCGCCCAGCACGGCCUGUGCUGGGCGCAACCGUGCAUGUGUGGAAGUCCCUAUACCCAGAGUACCCCUGCCGGGAGAUGCGCGAAGCCCGAACGAGCUUUUGCCAACUUGACUGGUCUUAAAAUCCCCUAGACUGUGACUGCCGGGUCAGCUUUUUGAUGAACAUCACCGAUUCCAGUGUACAGGGAUAUUGCAACACGCCCCCUCGGCUGAGUGGCCGUGGCCUAGACACGCUGAUGGCACCCGAUUUACAUUGCUACUUUCCUUAAACACACGAGGUGAAAAGGAAAAAAAAAAGAAUAAAGCGUUUUUUUUGUGGACUCUG